AAAGGACUCCCUCCGUCCCAAAAUUCUUUUCUUAGAUUUGUCUAGAUACGUAUGUAUCAAGUCACAUUUUAGUAUUAGAUACAUCCGUAUCUAGACAAAUCUAAGACAAGAAAUUUGGUACAGAGGGAGUAGUUG
Triticum aestivum (bread wheat) is the source of this 135-nucleotide non-coding RNA. Lineage: Eukaryota; Viridiplantae; Streptophyta; Magnoliopsida; Poales; Poaceae. The record is from Rfam.